AUUGAACGCUGGCGGAAUGCUUUACACAUGCAAGUCGAACGGCAGCACGGGGGCAACCCUGGUGGCGAGCGGCGAACGGGUGAGUAAUACAUCGGAACGUGCCCAGUCGUGGGGGAUAACGUAGCGAAAGUUACGCUAAUACCGCAUACGAUCUACGGAUGAAAGCGGGGGACCGUAAGGCCUCGCGCGAUUGGAGCGGCCGAUGUCAGAUUGGGUAGUGGGUGAGGUAAAGGGUCACCAAGCCGAGGAUCUGUAGCUGGGCUGAGAGGACGACCAGCCACACUGGGACUGAGACACGGCCCAGACUCCUACGGGAGGCAGCAGUGGGGAAUUUUGGACAAUGGGCGCAAGCCUGAUCCAGCCAUUCCGCGUGCAGGACGAAGGCCUUCGGGUUGUAAACUGCUUUUGUACGGAACGAAAAGGCUCUGGUUAAUACCUGGGGCUCAUGACGGUACCGUAAGAAUAAGCACCGGCUAACUACGUGCCAGCCGCCGCUGUAA
This 500-nucleotide ribosomal RNA is filed under the name uncultured bacterium. RNAcentral's name for it is "partial 16S ribosomal RNA". It matches the Rfam family "Bacterial small subunit ribosomal RNA", at positions 29 to 523 of the family's 1533-position model. The record is from RNAcentral.